RNAcentral lists this long non-coding RNA (6018 nucleotides) under Fragaria vesca (wild strawberry). RNAcentral's name for it is "long non-coding RNA (FVES_LNC001946)". The record is from RNAcentral. Lineage: Eukaryota; Viridiplantae; Streptophyta; Magnoliopsida; Rosales; Rosaceae.
GAGCUCGCCGAGGUCGAAAUGCCUGGUCUCAUGGCCUCCCGUGUCGAAUUCGGCCCGUCCCAGCCCUUCAAGGGUGCCCGGAUCACCGGAUCUCUCCACAUGACCAUCCAGACCGCCGUCCUCAUCGAAACCCUAACCGCUCUCGGAGCCGAGGUCCGCUGGUGCUCCUGCAACAUCUUCUCCACCCAGGACCACGCCGCCGCCGCCAUUGCUCGCGAUAGCGCCGCUGUUUUCGCCUGGAAGGGAGAGACUCUCCAGGAGUACUGGUGGUGCACUGAGCGCGCCUUGGACUGGGGCCCCGGCGGAGGCCCAGAUCUGAUCGUCGACGACGGUGGUGACACUACUCUCUUGAUCCAUGAGGGUGUUAAGGCCGAGGAGAUCUUUGAGAAGACCGGGCAGCUACCUGACCCGACUUCCACCGACAACGCGGAGUUCCAGAUCGUGCUCUCUAUUAUCAAGGAGGGGUUGAAGACCGACCCCAAGAGGUACCGCAAGAUGAAGGACAGGAUUGUCGGUGUCUCGGAGGAGACCACAACCGGAGUCAAGAGGCUGUACCAGAUGCAGAACAGCGGCUCAUUGUUGUUCCCUGCUAUCAAUGUCAAUGACUCUGUCACCAAGAGCAAGGUAUGCCUCUUAGAUCUGGGCUCGCAUUCUUUUUCUGUAUUCAGAUCUGUAAUGUUUUCGAUAUAAUUUGUUUGAUGAGUGUUACUUUUGUGUUGAUUAGAUCUGCAUAACUAUUUGAGUUCAUUUGAGUAGGUAGUAGAAAUGUGUGGCUUUGCUAUAUUAUUAGUAGGGUUUUAAUCAAUUUUAAUUUUUUUUUUACUUGUUCAUGCCUAAUUAUUGGAUAACUAAUACAAGGUGCCCUGUUUUUAUUGUAGAUUCAGUCUUGUGUACUUGUUUGCUUUUAAAUCAAAUAAUUGUAGAUAUUUUUGUUUUAUCUGCACAGUUUGACAACCUGUAUCGUCUCGUGUUUGUUUACAAGUAGUGGAUUGCAUAUAUAGUUUCAUUCAUCCUGAUUCCAAAAUUGCCCCGUUGAUGGAAUAUUGUUUUGUGCCCACGAGUUUGACAACUGGUAUUAUAUUGCAAUUCUUUAGGGUUAGGCUAUGCGUAUUUAUUUCACUGCCUGAUUGCAAAGUUUAGCUGUUGAAAUGACAUUUUGUUUUGUUUGUGCAUUACAGUUUGACAACUUGUAUGGUUGCCGUCACUCUCUCCCUGAUGGUUUGAUGAGAGCCACUGAUGUUAUGAUUGCCGGAAAGGUUUCUGUUGUCUGUGGAUAUGGUGAUGUUGGAAAGGGUUGUGCUGCUGCUCUCAAGCAAGCCGGAUCCCGUGUGAUCGUGACUGAGAUUGACCCAAUCUGUGCUCUUCAGGCUCUUAUGGAAGGCCUUCAGGUUCUUCCCAUUGAGGACGUCGUCUCUGAUGCUGAUAUCUUUGUCACCACCACCGGAAACAAGGACAUCAUCAUGCUUGAGCACAUGAGGAAGAUGAAGAACAAUGCCAUUGUUUGCAACAUUGGGCAUUUUGACAAUGAGAUCGACAUGCAUGGACUUGAGACAUUCCCAGGAGUGCAGCGUAUCACCAUCAAGCCUCAAACAGAUAGGUGGGUUUUCCCCGAUACCAAGACUGGUAUCAUUGUGUUGGCUGAGGGCCGUCUCAUGAACUUGGGUUGUGCCACUGGACACCCUAGCUUUGUGAUGUCCUGCUCUUUCACCAACCAAGUGAUUGCUCAGCUUGAGUUGUGGAAUGAGAGGAAGAGCGGCAAGUAUGAGAAGAAGGUCUAUGUCUUGCCUAAGCACCUUGAUGAGAAGGUUGCUGCUCUUCAUCUUGGAAAGCUCGGAGCCAAGCUCACCAAGCUCAGCAAGGAGCAGGCUGACUAUAUCAGCGUUCCAAUUGAGGGUCCAUACAAGCCUGCUCACUACAGGUACUGAAAGGCCUGCAGGAAGAAGAGAACUGAGAAGAACAUUAUACCUGGACGGGUUGAAUUUUUUUUCUUAUUAUUUUUUUGUUGGUUUCAUUUACGUUGCGAACGGAUUGUGCUAGAACUCUAGGUGCUUAAUUUUGUUAGUAGUUUUUGUGGUCGGGAAGGUAUGGUCGGGAAAGCUAUGGAUGAUUUGGUCUCACUUGAAGACCUGGGAUGCGGUUUGAAUAACGAUUGAAAGGUGGGAUGUGUGGGAUAUAUCUGGUGCAGUAUUUGUUUUGCUGCAUCUGAUUAUCCAUUUACUAGCACGAAAACGAGUUCUAGAAAAAGAAAAUGAACUAAAUUGCUUCAUUUUGAAAUUUUGUUCCCUUAAUAGUAGUUUCAUUUUGUUUCUUUAACACUCGACACUUACAAUACAGGGAUGUCUUGCCCAAAUGCUUGGAUUACUGAAAACAUAGUUUCAAUUUAGUAAUUGAAUUUGUUAUGCAGAGAGAUAUACCCACACUCAAAACAAUCAUGGGGUUCAUUCGUUGUUGGUGAGACUAAUAUAAGUGGGGAGUUGGUUUCUUUAGACUACGUUUUAAUCUAAUGGAUGUCUUUGUAUAAAUUGGCCAAUGAGAAGCUUAAUACGGUAGUAGUGGGUAGUUGGUCGGUCUAGUGGGUGAAAAAGCGACGUUUUUUCUUUGCUUUCCGACGAGACAAGAUCUGAUAUUUUCUAGUUUUGUAAAUGAUGAUGAGAUGUGGGCGUCGGCAAUGCACUAGAAAGACAGCGACGUUUUAUUCGGCCAAAACGUGCAAAUCACGGUGAUCUUCUAGGUUUUUAUUUUUAUUUUUAUAAGUACUUUGAAGACAAAAAGUUGAAGUACAUAUGGGGGAAGGAACAUAAUUCUCUUCAUCCUGUUUUGAAUGCUUAAGAAUUUUUGAAGGUAAUAGAUAACUCCAUUGGUAAUCAUCAUAAUGAUCUUACAAGAUCAAGCUUAGGGGCCAUAGACCACCUAUAAUCAUCCACUGCUUAAAAACUCGAUACUCACCAAAAGGGGGAAAAAAAAACCCAAAUAUCUCAAUGGAAAACAAAGUAAAUGAACUAAAUGGAAAAACAAAUCCACGACUCAAUAGAGGCAAAGACUCAACAUAAACAACUGACUCAAAACACAAAACUAACAUACUUUAACAAAACAUGAAAUCGAGAUCAAUCAACCAAAAGGUUUGGGGCCUAGAUACCUUUACAGUGUACCCUUCCGCCUCAAGAUCAAUGCAAGAUCCAACUCCAUGAGAUGUCAUUGUAAGUCUCAGUCUUCCUCCACCUCUGGGACCUCUGUAUCCUUGGGAGCAUCGAGCUUGGUCUUGUUAUGGCUUCCACGAGGACGAACUCGUUUCUUGGAUCCACUGCCGUCGGUCAGCUGCACUCCGGCCAAGCUCUUCUCCAACCCUACCUGUUUAGAACUCAAUGAGAAUGGCACCAUUGCAAGAGAAAACCUAGCCUUCUUCCCUACUUCGUCAUCUUCAUUCUCUUCACUAGAUCGACGCACUUUAGAAACCCUUGUGGUCGCAUCACUACUCUUCGACAAAAAUCACGAAUUGAUAUCGUCCCUUCUCUGGUUUCUUCAAAGGAGGGACUUGAAACAUCGACGAUCCAGAGGCCGAGGAAGUAGUCCGGAAAACCAUCUCCGACACCGUACUUGCAGUUGGUUGAGACACAUGAACCGUCUCUUCUUCCACUGUCCUAGGACAGCACAACCCGCCAUGAUCAAUCAUUGCACAAACCCUGCAUCUACCAAGAAGCCUUUCAUACAUUAAUUAGAGCUCGAUGACGUCAAGUGGAGAAACCCUAACACGCCGGCUCAGCCGCACCGAUUCAUUCAAAGGGAGAGAAACCCAAACCCUAGGGUUUUCAACACGUAACCCAUGUGGAUCAAGGCUCAAAACUGGUCCGAUGGUUUCGCCGAUGAGACCGACGGUGUCCUCAUUUAGCAAAGUCGGUGGCAGCCCCGAAACCUCCACCCAAAUCAAAAUAAAUUCCAGUGAAAGCGCCGCUAUAUCGGAGAAUCCAUCAUAAUGAUUGAGCAAGAGCAUAGAGCGCUGAAACGCCCAAGGUCCUCAUUUCAAAACACGAUUCAAGUCACGUUCAGUGGCGAAGGUGAAGAGGAACCUAUCACCCUGAGCCUAAACCUCCACCGAGACCGACAACGGCCACAUAGAGCGGAUGAUGCUUCUGAAAGCGUCGAACACCACCGGUAUGGAGCGCAAGAGGAUACCAUGUAUGAGAGGAGGACUAGAGGUGCAAAUGAUGAUCAAGAUGUUGCUUCUGUUACGCUAAGUUUUGAGUCUAUCAAUUUAGGUAGUGGAACUAAAACCUCAAAUGAAUCCCAAGAAGGCAAUAAUCAAUAUGACUAUAAUGUUUAAGGCUAUAAUCAAUGCACGAACGUUAGUGAUCAGUCAUCUAGUUGGAUUCAUCCUUAUUAUCCACUUAUAGAGGACAAAGUCGGCUGCUCCAAAGAGAUAAUCAUAUUCAACACUAUAAUUCAUAUUAUAUGAGUCAUAUGUCUUGGUCUGAUUAUUGUACUUUUAUGGACCAGCGUGUGUCUUAUCAACAACUUAGAUAUAUGAUUAUCAUAUUCAACACUAUAGUUCAUACUAUAUGAGUCAUAUGUCUUGGUUUGAUUAUUAUACUUUUAUGGACCGACGUGCGUCUUAUCAACAACUUAGAUUCUCAUUUUGGAUGUAGAUGAAGUUGAUGUUUGUAAUAUUUAUAUGUAAAUGCAAUAAAUUAAAUAUUUUAAGAAAAAAAAUUCUUUCCAAAAUCCAGAUAUUUUUUCCCUGAUAUUCCCUAUAUAUUUGAUAUCUCAUUUUUUUAAAGUACCGAUAGAUAUUUUAGUCUUUGAUUGUGAGAAACAUUUUUCAUAUUUUCUAAACUAGAAGAAUGAAAAAGUGAACACGUUAAAUUGAUGUUUUUAUUUUUUCUCUAUAAAAGUUGAAAAUAUAUUUAUUUUUCUCUAUAAAACUUUGAUCGUUGUAGUACAUGGUGUUGUAGAGGCUUCUUUUUGUAACUACCUUAACUCAUUAAAGAAAAAAAAAACUUAGCGCUUCAAGCAACUGAAAUGUAUUCUUGUGUUGAUUCAAACUUUAACCUUUGACGAUGGUUACAAGCCAAUUUUUGAAGUAUGUAAAUGGAAUUGGAGUUGAUACUAUAUUUCAUCUUGGUUGUCAUCAUCCAAAUCAUCAAAGAUUUAACAAUGGGGAAUACUUUCCUUCAUCAACAUAUAAUAUUUGUAGAAAGGGAUAUACUUUCUAGGCUGAUUGCCUCUGCAGCAUUCAAGACCGAACUAGUGAGCACUACAUGAGAUAUUCAAUGUAAGCAUAAGAAAGGGAAGCGGUUCUCACACGGAUUUCAUCAAACAGUGAUGAGUAACAAGGGUCCGGUUUAAGGGACACAAUUUCUAACACAAAUUUUGACACUUUUUUUAACCCUUGGAUCUUAGUUUAUCACAUGGUUGUUAUUGAUUGUGAACAUGAUUUGGCAAAUGACAUAGCAAUAAUAAUAUAUUUUCAAUCAAAACUAUAAAUUUUAAAUAUUUUUUUAUCGGAAUUAACAAUAUCUUUUAUAAAGAAAUUNNNNNNNNNNNNNNNNNNNNUUUCUUUCUUUAAAAGUAAUUUAGUUUAAAUAAAUUCACUAAUAAGUUUAACAAUAUAGCAAUCCCAAAAUGAUGAUGGCAGUGUAAUGCAUAUCAAAGAAAGAAAUUGAAAAAGAAAACAGAAAAAAAAACCAUAAAAAAAAAUUGAUGUAUAUGAGAAGAGAAAUAAUAAAAAAAUUAAAAUACAUGCAUGCGAAGAAUAAUUCAAAGAAGCAAGCAGGUUUCGAACCAGGGAAGUCCUCCAAUUUAACAUCCACCUCUGUCACUACAUCAACAACAAAUAAUGUUUUCUUUAAAGAACUUCUAUUUAUAUAGAGAAAUUUUAAAUACACACCCCUAAUCUCUUAAUACACAGCCUUUGCUUAAUACACCUCUCAUCUAGUUUUUCAUUUCGAUAUUAAACUUAAUACACAUCCCAAACUGCCUAUAAUACCCUUAUAUCUAAAAUUAAGAAAUAAUAUGUUAUUUAGU